UUAAGCGACUAAGCGUACACGGUGGAUGCCCUGGCAGUCAGAGGCGAUGAAGGACGUGCUAAUCUGCGAUAAGCGUCGGUAAGGUGAUAUGAACCGUUAUAACCGGCGAUUUCCGAAUGGGGAAACCCAGUGUGUUUCGACACACUAUCAUUAACUGAAUCCAUAGGUUAAUGAGGCGAACCGGGGGAACUGAAACAUCUAAGUACCCCGAGGAAAAGAAAUCAACCGAGAUUCCCCCAGUAGCGGCGAGCGAACGGGGAGCAGCCCAGAGCCUGAAUCAGUGUGUGUGUUAGUGGAAGCGUCUGGAAAGGCGCGCGAUACAGGGUGACAGCCCCGUACACAAAAAUGCACAUGCUGUGAGCUCGAUGAGUAGGGCGGGACACGUGGUAUCCUGUCUGAAUAUGGGGGGACCAUCCUCCAAGGCUAAAUACUCCUGACUGACCGAUAGUGAACCAGUACCGUGAGGGAAAGGCGAAAAGAACCCCGGCGAGGGGAGUGAAAAAGAACCUGAAACCGUGUACGUACAAGCAGUGGGAGCACGCUUAGGCGUGUGACUGCGUACCUUUUGUAUAAUGGGUCAGCGACUUAUAUUCUGUAGCAAGGUUAACCGAAUAGGGGAGCCGAAGGGAAACCGAGUCUUAACUGGGCGUUAAGUUGCAGGGUAUAGACCCGAAACCCGGUGAUCUAGCCAUGGGCAGGUUGAAGGUUGGGUAACACUAACUGGAGGACCGAACCGACUAAUGUUGAAAAAUUAGCGGAUGACUUGUGGCUGGGGGUGAAAGGCCAAUCAAACCGGGAGAUAGCUGGUUCUCCCCGAAAGCUAUUUAGGUAGCGCCUCGUGAAUUCAUCUCCGGGGGUAGAGCACUGUUUCGGCAAGGGGGUCAUCCCGACUUACCAACCCGAUGCAAACUGCGAAUACCGGAGAAUGUUAUCACGGGAGACACACGGCGGGUGCUAACGUCCGUCGUGAAGAGGGAAACAACCCAGACCGCCAGCUAAGGUCCCAAAGUCAUGGUUAAGUGGGAAACGAUGUGGGAAGGCCCAGACAGCCAGGAUGUUGGCUUAGAAGCAGCCAUCAUUUAAAGAAAGCGUAAUAGCUCACUGGUCGAGUCGGCCUGCGCGGAAGAUGUAACGGGGCUAAACCAUGCACCGAAGCUGCGGCAGCGACGCUUAUGCGUUGUUGGGUAGGGGAGCGUUCUGUAAGCCUGUGAAGGUGUACUGUGAGGUAUGCUGGAGGUAUCAGAAGUGCGAAUGCUGACAUAAGUAACGAUAAAGCGGGUGAAAAGCCCGCUCGCCGGAAGACCAAGGGUUCCUGUCCAACGUUAAUCGGGGCAGGGUGAGUCGACCCCUAAGGCGAGGCCGAAAGGCGUAGUCGAUGGGAAACAGGUUAAUAUUCCUGUACUUGGUGUUACUGCGAAGGGGGGACGGAGAAGGCUAUGUUGGCCGGGCGACGGUUGUCCCGGUUUAAGCGUGUAGGCUGGUUUUCCAGGCAAAUCCGGAAAAUCAAGGCUGAGGCGUGAUGACGAGGCACUACGGUGCUGAAGCAACAAAUGCCCUGCUUCCAGGAAAAGCCUCUAAGCAUCAGGUAACAUCAAAUCGUACCCCAAACCGACACAGGUGGUCAGGUAGAGAAUACCAAGGCGCUUGAGAGAACUCGGGUGAAGGAACUAGGCAAAAUGGUGCCGUAACUUCGGGAGAAGGCACGCUGAUAUGUAGGUGAAGUCCCUCGCGGAUGGAGCUGAAAUCAGUCGAAGAUACCAGCUGGCUGCAACUGUUUAUUAAAAACACAGCACUGUGCAAACACGAAAGUGGACGUAUACGGUGUGACGCCUGCCCGGUGCCGGAAGGUUAAUUGAUGGGGUUAGCGCAAGCGAAGCUCUUGAUCGAAGCCCCGGUAAACGGCGGCCGUAACUAUAACGGUCCUAAGGUAGCGAAAUUCCUUGUCGGGU
This 1949-nucleotide ribosomal RNA is filed under the name human gut metagenome. RNAcentral describes it as "bacterial LSU rRNA". It matches the Rfam family "Bacterial large subunit ribosomal RNA", at positions 1 to 1977 of the family's 2925-position model. The record is from RNAcentral.